UGGGGAAUAUUGGACAAUGGGCGAAAGCCUGAUCCAGCCAUGCCGCGUGUGUGAAGAAGGUCUUCGGAUUGUAAAGCACUUUAAGUUGGGAGGAAGGGCAUUAACCUAAUACGUUAGUGUUUUGACGUUACCGACAGAAUAAGCACCGGCUGACUCUGUGCCAGCAGCCGCGGUAAUACAGAGGGUGCAAGCGUUAAUCGGAAUUACUGGGCGUAAAGCGCGCGUAGGUGGUUUGUUAAGUUGGAUGUGAAAUCCCCGGGCUCAACCUGGGAACUGCAUUCAAAACUGACUGACUAGAGUAUGGUAGAGGGUGGUGGAAUUUCCUGUGUAGCGGUGAAAUGCGUAGAUAUAGGAAGGAACACCAGUGGCGAAGGCGACCACCUGGACUAAUACUGACACUGAGGUGCGAAAGCGUGGGGAGCAAACA
This 427-nucleotide ribosomal RNA is filed under the name uncultured bacterium. RNAcentral describes it as "partial 16S ribosomal RNA". It matches the Rfam family "Bacterial small subunit ribosomal RNA", at positions 355 to 774 of the family's 1533-position model. The record is from RNAcentral.